GACGAACCGUCCAAACGUUAUUCGGAAUCACUGGGCUUACAGAGUUCGUAGGCGGUCUGGAAAGUUGGGUGUGAAAUCCCUCGGCCUAACCGAGGAACUGCGCUUGAAACUACCAGACUCGAGGGAGAUAGAGGAAAGCGGAACUGAUGGUGGAGCGGUGAAAUGCGUUGAUAUCAUCAGGAACACCGGUGGCGAAGGCGGCUUUCUGGGUCUUACCUGACGAUGAGGAACGAAAGCCAGGGGAGCGAACGGG
RNAcentral lists this ribosomal RNA (253 nucleotides) under uncultured bacterium. RNAcentral's name for it is "partial 16S ribosomal RNA". It matches the Rfam family "Bacterial small subunit ribosomal RNA", at positions 524 to 776 of the family's 1533-position model. The record is from RNAcentral.